This 468-nucleotide ribosomal RNA is filed under the name uncultured bacterium. RNAcentral's name for it is "partial 16S ribosomal RNA". It matches the Rfam family "Bacterial small subunit ribosomal RNA", at positions 28 to 507 of the family's 1533-position model. The record is from RNAcentral.
GACGAACGCUGGCGGCGUGCUUAACACAUGCCAGUCGAACGGAAAGGCCCUGCUUUUGUGGGGUGCUCGAGUGGCGAACGGGUGAGUAACACGUGAGUAACCUGCCCUUGACUUUGGGAUAACUUCAGGAAACUGGGGCUAAUACCGGAUAGGAGCUCCUGCUGCAUGGUGGGGGUUGGAAAGUUUCGGCGGUUGGGGAUGGACUCGCGGCGUAUCAGCUUGUUGGUGGGGUAGUGGCUUACCAAGGCUUUGACGGGUAGCCGGCCUGAGAGGGUGACCGGCCACAUUGGGACUGGGAUACCGCCCAGACUCCUACGGGAGGCAACAGUGGGGAAUAUUGCACAAUGGGCGGAAGCCUGAUGCAGCAACGCCGCGUGCGGGAUUACGGCCUUCGGGUUGUAAACCGCUUUCGCCUGUGACGAAGCGUGAGUGACGGUAAUGGGUAAAGAAGCACCGGCUAACUACGUG